AACAGGCAUAGCAGAGGUAAUGGGAAAGAUAUUAUUGAUUUUAUGUAUUUAAAUAGAGCAUAGUCAACUUGACAAUGCCUCUUUAAAUAAUUGAAAAAUCUGCUUCAGCUGACAGUAGCUCACAAGAUAACGAGGCUGGUUGUGGAAGAACAUGAGUAAUUAGAGAGUGGGGAUUCUUGCCACAUGGAAUUGACCCUUGGGGGCUUGAAGAAAGCAGGAUUUGUGGCUGCUCUGAAAUGCCAGUGGUCUGGUCCAGCAUUCCUCUUGUCAAUACGAACCUUGUGUUUUUAUUGGAAACACGUGUCAAAACAAAACAGUGUUUGAGGCUGCUGCUGAGAGAAGGUGGGCAAGUCCACAGACAGCCAACCUGUUUUUUCUGCUUGUUUCCAAACAUACCAUGCUGCACUGCCCGUCACGUUCAAAUGGAGGGAAAGAUGAUUUAGAGGAAUCAGAGUGACUGUGGCGUUCUGCUAUACCCUGAUGAGGCCCAAAUUGAGAGUUUAUAUUAGGGUUACCCCCUGAAGAAGAGCUAUUGCAGCAAGACAGCUUUGAGCUUUUCUGGAUGAGCAGAAGAGUGUUUGGAGAAGACCUGCCAGUCCUAUGUGAUACUUCGCUCCCUGUGGGCUGCCAAAACAGUUUGAAAACAGUGUAAGUUAUGAAUCUUGGAACUGUUACCUGCAUCACAGAAAAGUCAAAGUAAGGAGAUGGAGCAGACAUAGAUGAGGGGAAAAAUUGUUAAUAAGAACAGCAGACACGAUGUUGCAGACUGUAGCUGUCUCAUGAAAUGUGAUUUGCUGCCAGCACAUCACAGUAAGGAAAGUCUGGUUGACCUGUGAAUAGAUGAGAAAAAUAAAGGGAAGAGACACUUUCAGGGUCCUAAUUAAACACUGGGCUACCUGCUUGCCUAGGCAGCAUCGCCUCACUGCUUCUGGGUGACAGGACGGCAGGGCUUGUCCCUGAUGACAUAUUCAAUGGUCUAUGGCUGUGCUGUUUUGCUGCAGCAUAAGCAAACGGAGAAUUCUUUGUGUGCAAGUCUGAGGCUGCAUAUACAUGUGUGUGAACUCUCUAAAAGCAAACAACUAGCCUUUAUAAAGCCAAAUUCCAAGCAAGUAACCAGCUCAGCAGCUGUGAAAGGUGUCUCUGUGUUUCUUUGUUGAUAAAAAUGCAACCCACAGUGACUCAAACCUCAGGAUGUGGUGGGAAGCUGAGAAGAAAAGAAAGAUAGAGAGUGGGGGAGAAAGGGAAAAAAAAUCCUUCGCAGGAUGAGGAGUUCAGACAUGCCAGAUUUCUUUGGCGCAGACGUUGCUGUCAUGAGCCUCGCAGACGUUUAACGUUUGAUUCCCUGCUUGCUUUUCACUUGGCAUCAAGGGUGUAGCGAAGAUUUUGAAAACAGUAUGGCAAAGUGUUUUAAAUAGCAAGACUGGUCUGCAAGUGCCAUAAACAGCAUCUCUUUCAUAUGCUACAAGUAAAUAGUGCGGGCAGAAACCCAGCGUGCGAAGGCUGCCGCAGAUCUGUCGUUACCCUGCAUCUGCUCCCUGUGACCAAAACAUUGAUGAUCAUUUCCCUUCCUCCCCUCUGUUCCAGCCCCGUCUUGAAUGCCUCUGGAAAGCAGAAGGCAGCUGCCUUAAGGACAGGAACUUGGUGUGCGGAAAGGAGAAUCUAGUUUGGAAGAUGAAUACUAAAAGUAGGCAUUGAUUUCCUAUCAAAGAAGUGAAGUGUUCAAAUUUGCUGUGUUGCUUUCACUUGAAAGGCAUCAGGACUACCAGAUGUGCUGUGUUCAGAUGAGAUUAAGCUUUUGGACUUGUUCUGAGGCCCCAAAAUUUACUUCACCAGCUCCAGCCAAGCGGCUUAGGCACAGCUUUUUCCCGAAGCAGCAGAAGUGACUUGAAGCUUCGUGGCCUGAGUCUUUCUGCUGUGAUUCUGUUGUCAGAUAUUUAGCUACACAAGCACCAUAUCAGGCAUGAGGGGGGAAUGAAGCUAUCCCAUCACAGAUAACAUCUAACUAGCAGAACAGAUCUUUUUCCUACUGAACAUAUGUUUCCUUCACUUGCAGUGAAAGAGGAGUGCAGCCACAAUAAGAAUGAGCUGAGAGCAGAGCAAUGUAAGGGUUGAAGAAAACAAGAAACAGAGAAAACUGUGUGAAGGCUGUAUGGGCUUGUCUCUAGCAUUUACUAAGGGAAUAAUACAGGAUCUCUUGUCAGGUCUAAUCAACCUUUUGAGUUGACAGUUGCUGAUUCAGCAGUGAGACACAGUGCCUGUUCUCCAGAGGAAGAUUUAGGAGCUUAACCUGAGUUUCCACGGCACUGAUUUUCACAUUGCUUAUGACUGAGAAUCCAGGAGCUACUCAAACAAGGAACAUAAAAGGGACAAAGUAACCUCUUGCUGAAAUGUAUCUAUCUCUGGGGAGAAGCACUACUAUUUAACUCAACUGCAGAAGCAAAAAAGAUCUAGGCCUUAGACAAAGAAGCAAAACCAGGAAAGAACUGGAUGGAAAAGACUUUGACUUGGGAGCGAACUCUUCAGAAAGUAUCAUGAGAUCUUCAAGAAAGCAGAGGAAUCGGAGCUCAUUGCAUGUGAAUUGUCUGAACUGCAUGUGAGCUUUAAGGACUGCAGUAAUGAAAGAAUAAAGUGGCUUACAAGCUACAUCAGCCCUGGAAAACAAAGCA
Molecule: non-coding RNA, 2666 nt
Organism: Anas platyrhynchos (mallard)
Lineage: Eukaryota; Metazoa; Chordata; Aves; Anseriformes; Anatidae
Source: RefSeq, a predicted model, not a curated record